ACCCAUCCUGAGGAGGGAUACGCACUCCAAACCCAUCCUGAGGAGUGAUACGCACUCCAAACCCAUCCUGAGGAGUGAUACGCACUCCAAACCCAUCCUGAGGAGGGAUACGCACUCCAAACCCAUCCUGAGGAGGGAUACGCACUCCAAACCCAUCCUGAGGAGGGAUACGCACCUCAUGGGAGGUCAAAGCGCCAGACUUGUGUAGCGUGUUGUUCUUUCCUUGUCUUUGAAGUGUGAAGGCCAAGUCCCUGCCCUCCGGCCUCUAGUCACGCCAUGCCUCUACCCAGCCAUGCCUAGCUUUUAUUUUGUAACGUGGGUCGCCCCCCAGGAUUUGUCUCCAGCCUGUUGCCGUUAGACAAAGCCCCCUUUCUGUGACGUCACGGAUAUGUUGUAGCUCUCUGCGAGGUCAAAACGUCCCUCCACCAGGGUGGGAUUGAAUUGGAGCAGAAACCUUCUGAUGCUCCUAGUGAGGCAGGGGGCCGUGUGGAACACAGAAGAUGUGGGCACCCCCAGGGCACCCUGUGGGAACAAAAGGAAGUUCAAGAGGUGGUUGGUUGCACUCCUAACUCCUAAUGUUUACUUAUUGGUCUUGCAUGAUAAAUUUACCUUCAACAUUGUUGCGUUGGGUUUAGUUAUGAUAUUCAGCCGUUUCUGUAUACCUCAUGUGCAGAUAGGGGUUUGCCCUGUUCUGUGUUUGAUUUUAUAUUUCAUCACUCAAUUCAAUUCUGGUGCAAAGCCAGAAUUGUGUUUAAUUGCAUGGAUUUUUUUUCUACUGUGCAAAUGACUUGUUUGACUUCCUAGCAUGAUAUUGUGUCAGUAGGAAACGGUGUACACAUAGUUCAAUAGAUCCUAGUUCACAGUCGAGGAAACACCAAGCACAACAAAGGGAGAUGAGGUUUGGGUUGGAAGGUCUCAGGCCUCCAGGACCCCAGAGUUCUCCAGAGCUCUCUGUGUGUGGGACAGGGUCAUGUGCUAUGCUACUCUGCUUCAGGAAACCAUGGCAACACGGCCCCCAUAAUGGUCUGCUUAACAUGGGCUAUAGGGUAGAUGGGGUGUAGGGUUUAGGGUAUAGGGUGGGUAGGGUAUAGGGUAGAUAGGGUAGAUGGGGUAUAGGGUAGGUAGGGUAUAGGGGGCUUAUAUAUAGGGGGACAGUCCACACUGCGCUGGAAUGUGAAUGUGGGUUUUCUCACUGCUAGGGAAUGUUGGUUUUGAAUGAGAGGAGUCAGAGCGGGAAAGACAGUGCCUUUGGUUACUAUGGAGACAAAGUUUAUAUAGGCCUACAGCAAAAAGUAAAUCUAUUUUUUAGAGGAUCUUAUUUUUCCCUUCCUCCUUACAGUGUUGUGUUGCCUGUAUGAGCUCAAUGUAAACAGUGUAUUUUUGAUAAUCGUCCCAAAGGUCCUCUAUCUGUGCAUCAAUACAUCCUGUUUAGAGGCUCAUUGUUGACCGUUGUCAUGUUGUGUGUCUAGUUUAGUUUGGGACUUCUGAGGUGUACGCAGAGAUGUGCGUACCGGUCAAGGACUGUCUCGAACUAAUUGAUGAGCUAGAACUAACUUAUAAAAACUAAGGACUAACUUAUCAGCCAGAUCACUGGACGAGGCCGGGGAAUGACACAAAGUCUGCUGAACUAUUCCUUGUAGUGAAUGUAACCUGGUCCAUGCUUCACUGUUCCUUAAGCUUGGCCUCAUGUUUUGAAAACGCAUUGUGACAAUUCCAACAGAUGGUACUGAAUGUUUGGCUUUGAUAGCAUGUUUGACAGAGCGAAGGCUGAUCUGUACUGUUUUGACGAGGAUGUUAGUUGUAGAUCAUAAGUUAAUUCUAUAAUGAGGGGAAUGCUAAUGUGUAAGCUUAUUAUGUGUUGUAUGUUAUAUUUAGUCAUCUCAUUUAUAGACACUAGAGGUUUGACCUCCAAUAUCUUUAUCAAUUAGACCAGUAAUUACUUUUAGAAAAACAAUUUGCAGAUUUAGCGGAUAGCUAUCCCCAAGCUGAAUGGACAGGAUGGAGCGUGGGCAUGGAAUCAUCUUCUGCAGAUCCAUUAUUCAUUGCUUUUGUUAGACGGCAUCUGUAGGUAUCCUGUUCUUCAUUUGGCAAUGACACCAGAGAAAUAAACUUGAAGGCCU
Gadus macrocephalus (Pacific cod) is the source of this 2120-nucleotide long non-coding RNA. RefSeq lists it as uncharacterized. Lineage: Eukaryota; Metazoa; Chordata; Actinopteri; Gadiformes; Gadidae. The transcript has 3 exons. The record is from RefSeq and is a predicted model, not a curated record.